GACGAACGCUGGCGGCGUGCUUAACACAUGCAAGUCGAACGGAAAGGCCCUGCUUUUGUGGGGUGCUCGAGUGGCGAACGGGUGAGUAACACGUGAGUAACCUGCCCUUGACUUUGGGAUAACUUCAGGAAAAUGGGGCUAUUACCGGAUAGGAGCUCCUGCCGCGUGGUGGGGGUUGGAAAGUUUCGGCGGUUGGGGCUGGACUCGCGGCUUAUCAGCUGGUUUGUGGGGUAGUGGAUUACACAGGGUUUGACGGGUAGGCGGCCUUGGAGCGUGACCGGCCACAUGGGGACUGAGAGACGGACCAGACUCCUACGGGAGGCAGCAGUGGGAAGUAUUGCACAAUGGGCGGAAGCCUGAUGCGGCAACGCCGCGUGCGUGAUGACGGCCUUCGGGUUGUAAACCGCUUUCGCCUGUGACGAAGCGUGAUUGACGGUAAUGGGUAAAGAAGCACCGGCUAACUACGUG
This 468-nucleotide ribosomal RNA is filed under the name uncultured bacterium. Its description in RNAcentral is "partial 16S ribosomal RNA". It matches the Rfam family "Bacterial small subunit ribosomal RNA", at positions 28 to 507 of the family's 1533-position model. The record is from RNAcentral.